This is a non-coding RNA of Cordylochernes scorpioides, 75 nucleotides long. NCBI's taxonomy places the organism in Eukaryota, Metazoa, Arthropoda, Arachnida, Pseudoscorpiones, Chernetidae. The record is from the annotation of a GenBank genome assembly.
GUCCAGGGUAGCCUAGUGGUCAUGGCAUCUGCCCGGUAAGCGGAAGGUCGUGGGUUCGAUUCCCAUCCCUUGACC